Molecule: ribosomal RNA, 761 nt
Filed under: Prevotella melaninogenica
Lineage: Bacteria; Pseudomonadati; Bacteroidota; Bacteroidia; Bacteroidales; Prevotellaceae
Description: bacterial SSU rRNA
Rfam family: Bacterial small subunit ribosomal RNA
Source: RNAcentral
GAUGAACGCUAGCUACAGGCUUAACACAUGCAAGUCGAGGGGAAACGGCAUUGAGUGCUUGCACUCUUUGGACGUCGACCGGCGCACGGGUGAGUAACGCGUAUCCAACCUUCCCAUUACUGUGGGAUAACCUGCCGAAAGGCAGACUAAUACCGCAUAGUCUUCGAUGACGGCAUCAGAUUUGAAGUAAAGAUUUAUCGGUAAUGGAUGGGGAUGCGUCUGAUUAGCUUGUUGGCGGGGUAACGGCCCACCAAGGCGACGAUCAGUAGGGGUUCUGAGAGGAAGGUCCCCCACAUUGGAACUGAGACACGGUCCAAACUCCUACGGGAGGCAGCAGUGAGGAAUAUUGGUCAAUGGACGGAAGUCUGAACCAGCCAAGUAGCGUGCAGGAUGACGGCCCUAUGGGUUGUAAACUGCUUUUGUAUGGGGAUAAAGUUAGGGACGUGUCCCUAUUUGCAGGUACCAUACGAAUAAGGACCGGCUAAUUCCGUGCCAGCAGCCGCGGUAAUACGGAAGGUCCAGGCGUUAUCCGGAUUUAUUGGGUUUAAAGGGAGCGUAGGCUGGAGAUUAAGUGUGUUGUGAAAUGUAGACGCUCAACGUCUGAACUGCAGCGCAUACUGGUUUCCUUGAGUACGCACAACGUUGGCGGAAUUCGUUGUGUAGCGGUGAAAUGCUUAGAUAUGACGAAGAACUCCGAUUGCGAAGGCAGCUGACGGGAGCGCAACUGACGCUUAAGCUCGAAGGUGCGGGUAUCAAACAGG